UAGUCAUAUGCUUGUCUCAAAGAUUAAGCCAUGCAUGUCUAAGUAUAAGCAACUUUGUACUGUGAAACUGCGAAUGGCUCAUUAAAUCAGUUAUAGUUUAUUUGAUGGUUUUUGCUACAUGGAUAACUGUGGUAAUUCUAGAGCUAAUACAUGCAUUCAAGCCCCGACUUCCGGAAGGGGUGUAUUUAUUAGAUAAAAAUCAACUUUGUUGGUGAAUCAUAAUAACUUCUCGGACCGCAUGGCCUCGUGCUGGCGGUGCUUCAUUCAAAUAUCUGCCCUAUCAACUGUCGAUGGUAGGAUAGAGGCCUACCAUGGUUGCAACGGGUAACGGGGAAUAAGGGUUCGAUUCCGGAGAGGGAGCCUGAGAAACGGCUACCACAUCCAAGGAAGGCAGCAGGCGCGCAAAUUACCCAAUCCCAACACGGGGAGGUAGUGACAAUAUGUAACAAUAUACGGCCUUAUACGUCGUAUAAUUGGAAUGAGUACAAUUUAAAUCCCUUAACGAGGAACAAUU
RNAcentral lists this ribosomal RNA (514 nucleotides) under uncultured eukaryote. RNAcentral's name for it is "SSU rRNA". It matches the Rfam family "Eukaryotic small subunit ribosomal RNA", at positions 21 to 549 of the family's 1831-position model. The record is from RNAcentral.